RNAcentral lists this unclassified non-coding RNA (269 nucleotides) under Hevea brasiliensis (rubber tree). The record is from RNAcentral. Lineage: Eukaryota; Viridiplantae; Streptophyta; Magnoliopsida; Malpighiales; Euphorbiaceae.
AGGGAAAGAAUAGGCAAAUGUUAUAAAAGUUAAGUCCACUGCUACCAGAAUGAAAUAAUAGGUAGACAGACACUUGUGUCACGGACUAAGAGUCUCACUGAUAUCUCAUGCGCGGGACAUGACAGUUGGCUGGGCUCCAAUAAACUUAAAUUUACAGUCUCAUUUCUGCUACUGUUGGAACACAGCAACGUCAGGACUGAAAACUUGAGUAUCAAGUCUUCAUUCAAACUAGGCCAUUACGCUAUUUCUAACAGAAUUUACAAAACAGU